GGGGCCGACCUGGUUUCGACCGGACAGGGAAGACUGUUCGCUGCGGGCCGUGGAGCAUCCAUGCCACGAUAAAAGGAUGCACAAUUUGUUAGCUGGCAACGCCAACUACGCCCUCGCGGCCUGAUCGCCGUGACGGAUCACGCAUGACGCCCGAUAGCGUGUGAUCCGAAACAUCGGGCUGGUUCCAAAGGGCUGACAGGCCCCGGAGGAACGAGAACUUUGUCUGUCAUGGCGGCUCCGACGCUCGUCGUCGGUGCUCGGAGUUGCCGAAAUUGAACCGACGAAUACGCUCGUAGACGCGGAUGGUUGACUGUUUCGGGACGAGGGUUCGAUUCCCUCCGGCUCCAUUG
This 350-nucleotide transfer-messenger RNA is filed under the name Phycisphaerales bacterium. It matches the Rfam family "transfer-messenger RNA". From Rfam's summary of the family: Bacterial tmRNA, also known as 10Sa RNA or SsrA, is named for its dual tRNA and mRNA-like properties. Its role is to liberate the mRNA from a stalled ribosome. Lineage: Bacteria; Pseudomonadati; Planctomycetota; Phycisphaerae; Phycisphaerales. The record is from RNAcentral.